UAGACCUUUCUCUGCCAUACUCUGUGAUCCAAGGAGAGAUUUUCAGCCUGAAAGCCAUCGUCUUCAACUACCUCAAGGACUGUAUCCAAGUGCACACCACCCUCAUAGAGACUCCAGAACUAAAGGUGGAUGCCUGUCCAGGCUGCCAGUUCACCAGCUGCCUCUGUGCCAACGAAGCAAAAUCUUUGCGUGGAAUGUGACAGCCACUAGACUGGGCAAAGUGAAUGUCACUGUGAGCAGUGUGGCAGAAGAUUCGCAUAAUCUGUGUGAUAACAGGGUUGCUGUGACACCGCUGCAAGGAAAGACAGACACAGUGAUAAAACCUUUGAUUGUCAGAUCAAUGAUGGAGAAUACCUGGGGACAGUGUGUUCUCCCAUGAAGCUAUUAGCAAGAGGAAGUUUAGAUCUUUCUUGGAAACAGACAGGCCUA
Meleagris gallopavo (turkey) is the source of this 429-nucleotide non-coding RNA. The record is from RefSeq and is a predicted model, not a curated record. Lineage: Eukaryota; Metazoa; Chordata; Aves; Galliformes; Phasianidae.